This 496-nucleotide ribosomal RNA is filed under the name uncultured bacterium. RNAcentral's name for it is "partial 16S ribosomal RNA". It matches the Rfam family "Bacterial small subunit ribosomal RNA", at positions 28 to 523 of the family's 1533-position model. The record is from RNAcentral.
GAUGAACGCUAGCGGCAGGCUUAACACAUGCAAGUCGAGGGGUAGAGGAAGCUUGCUUCCUUGAGACCGGCGCACGGGUGCGUAACGCGUAUACAAUCUACCUCUUACAGAGGGAUAGCCCAGAGAAAUUUGGAUUAAUACCUCAUAGUAUCUUCUGAAGGCAUCUUCAGAUUAUUAAAGUUCCAACGGUAAAAGAUGAGUAUGCGUCCCAUUAGCUAGAUGGUAAGGUAACGGCUUACCAUGGCAAUGAUGGGUAGGGGUCCUGAGAGGGGCAUCCCCCACACAGGUACUGAGCGACGGACCAGGCUCCUGCGGGAGGCAGCAGUGAGGAAUAUUGGACAAUGGGCGCAAGCCUGAUCCAGCCAUGCCGCGUGCAGGAAGACGGUCCUAUGGAUUGUAAACUGCUUUUAUACAGGAAGAAACACUCCCUCGUGAGGGAACUUGACGGUACUGUAUGAAUAAGCAUCGGCUAACUCCGUGCCAGCCGCCGCCGUAA